Non-coding RNA from Hydnomerulius pinastri MD-312, 92 nucleotides. Lineage: Eukaryota; Fungi; Basidiomycota; Agaricomycetes; Boletales. The record is from the annotation of a GenBank genome assembly.
GGCUUGAUGGCGUAGUUGGUUAUCGCAUCUGUCUAACACACGAUAAAUGUGACUCACACAGAAGGUCCCCAGUUCGAGCCUGGGUCAAGUCA